AUCCAGCUGACGAGUCACAAAUAGGACGAAACGUGCGUCCUGGAU
This is a non-coding RNA of Schistosoma rodhaini, 45 nucleotides long. The record is from Rfam. Lineage: Eukaryota; Metazoa; Platyhelminthes; Trematoda; Strigeidida; Schistosomatidae.